GACGAACGCUGGCGGCGUGCCUAAUACAUGCAAGUAGAACGCUGAAGGAGGAGCUUGCUUCUCUGGAUGAGUUGCGAACGGGUGAGUAACGCGUAGGUAACCUGCCUGGUAGCGGGGGAUAACUAUUGGAAACGAUAGCUAAUACCGCAUAAGAUUGACUAUUGCAUGAUAGUCAGUUAAAAGGUGCAAUUGCAUCACUACCAGAUGGACCUGCGUUGUAUUAGCUAGUUGGUGGGGUAACGGCUCACCAAGGCGACGAUACAUAGCCGACCUGAGAGGGUGAUCGGCCAAACUGGGACUGAGACACGGCCCAGACUCCUACGGGAGGCAGCAGUAGGGAAUCUUCGGCAAUGGACGGAAGUCUGACCGAGCAACGCCGCGUGAGUGAAGAAGGUUUUCGGAUCGUAAAGCUCGGUUGUAAGAGAAGAACGAGUGUGAGAGUGGAAAGUUCACACUGUGACGGUAUCUUACCAGAAAGGGACGGCUAACUACGUG
RNAcentral lists this ribosomal RNA (495 nucleotides) under uncultured bacterium. Its description in RNAcentral is "partial 16S ribosomal RNA". It matches the Rfam family "Bacterial small subunit ribosomal RNA", at positions 28 to 507 of the family's 1533-position model. The record is from RNAcentral.